AUUGAACGCUGGCGGCAGGCCUAACACAUGCAAGUCGAGCGGAUGAAGGGAGCUUGCUCCUGGAUUCAGCGGCGGACGGGUGAGUAAUGCCUAGGAAUCUGCCUGGUAGUGGGGGAUAACGUCCGGAAACGGGCGCUAAUACCGCAUACGUCCUGAGGGAGAAAGUGGGGGAUCUUCGGACCUCACGCUAUCAGAUUAGCCUAGGUCGGAUUAGCUAGUUGGUGGGGUAAAGGCCUACCAAGGCGACGAUCCGUAACUGGUCUGAGAGGAUGAUCAGUCAAAAUGGAACUGAGACACGGUCCAGACUCCUACGGGAGGCAGCAGUGGGGAAUAUUGGACAAUGGGCGAAAGCCUGAUCCAGCCAUGGCGCGUGUGUGAAGGAGGUCUUUGGAUUGUAAAGCACUUUAAGUUGGGAGGAAGGGCAGUAAGUUAAUACCUUGCUGUUUUGACGUUACCAACAGAAUAAGCACCGGCUAACUUCGUG
RNAcentral lists this ribosomal RNA (484 nucleotides) under uncultured bacterium. RNAcentral describes it as "partial 16S ribosomal RNA". It matches the Rfam family "Bacterial small subunit ribosomal RNA", at positions 30 to 507 of the family's 1533-position model. The record is from RNAcentral.